CCUACGGGAGGCAGCAGUGAGGAAUAUUGGUCAAUGGACGAGAGUCUGAACCAGCCAAGUAGCGUGAAGGAUGACUGCCCCAUGGGUUGUAAACUUCUUUUAUAUGGGAAUAAAAUGUUCCACGUGUGGGAUUUUGUAUGUACCAUAUGAAUAAGGAUCGGCUAACUCCGUGCCAGCAGCCGCGGUAAUACGGAGGAUCCGAGCGUUAUCCGGAUUUAUUGGGUUUAAAGGGAGCGUAGGUGGAUUGUUAAGUCAGUUGUGAAAGUUUGCGGCUCAACCGUAAAAUUGCAGUUGAAACUGGCAGUCUUGAGUGCAGUAGAGGUGGGCGGAAUUCGUGGUGUAGCGGUGAAAUGCUUAGAUAUCACGAAGAACUCCGAUUGCGAAGGCAGUUCACUGGACUGCAACUGACACUGAGGCUCGAAAGUGUGGGUAUCAAACAGGAUUAGAUACCCCUGUAGUC
RNAcentral lists this ribosomal RNA (460 nucleotides) under uncultured bacterium. Its description in RNAcentral is "partial 16S ribosomal RNA". It matches the Rfam family "Bacterial small subunit ribosomal RNA", at positions 338 to 795 of the family's 1533-position model. The record is from RNAcentral.